Homo sapiens (human) is the source of this 302-nucleotide long non-coding RNA. RefSeq lists it as uncharacterized. The record is from RefSeq and is a predicted model, not a curated record. The transcript has 2 exons. Lineage: Eukaryota; Metazoa; Chordata; Mammalia; Primates; Hominidae.
GCCCCCAAGGACAGACGGGCAAGCUGGAGUCAGGAGAGGCGCAGCCGUGGCCCACAGGCCUUGGAUCUCUGGUUGGGGGAGCACCAGGAAGGGGACCCUGCACCAUCUUGGCUGGGGUUGUAGCAGAUGCUCUGGUGUCCUGUGGCUCCUCCGCCCCACCCUCACAGCGCCCCACUGCAGGGCUGCAGUCAGAAGCCUCAGGUUGCAGCCUGCCCGACAGCUCAAGCUCAGCAGGGCCGAAUGGAGAAUGUGUACCUCCUCCUCCUAACAUUGUUAAAAAUAAAAUUUGUAUUUUGACACAA